CUUGCAUUCUUAAACCCUCUUGGCGGCUU
RNAcentral lists this non-coding RNA (29 nucleotides) under Cricetulus griseus (Chinese hamster). Lineage: Eukaryota; Metazoa; Chordata; Mammalia; Rodentia; Cricetidae. The record is from RNAcentral.